This 459-nucleotide ribosomal RNA is filed under the name uncultured bacterium. RNAcentral's name for it is "partial 16S ribosomal RNA". It matches the Rfam family "Bacterial small subunit ribosomal RNA", at positions 338 to 794 of the family's 1533-position model. The record is from RNAcentral.
CCUACGGGUGGCAGCAGUGAGGAAUAUUGGUCAAUGGCCGUAAGGCUGAACCAGCCAAGUCGCGUGCAGGAAGAAGGAUCUAUGGUUUGUAAACUUCUUUUAUAGGGGAAUAAAGGUAUCCACGUGUGGAUAUUUGCAUGUACCCUAUGAAUAAGCAUCGGCUAACUCCGUGCCAGCAGCCGCGGUAAUACGGAGGAUGCGAGCGUUAUCCGGAUUUAUUGGGUUUAAAGGGUGCGUAGGUUGUUUUUUAAGUCAGCGGUGAAAGUUUGUGGCUCAACCAUAAAAUUGCCGUUGAAACUGGAAGACGUAGGGGGGUUGGAGGAAGGCGGAAUGCGGGGUGUAGCGGGGAAAGGCAUGGAUAUCACGCAGAACUCCGAUGGCGAAGGCAGCUAACGAAGCCAUAACGGACACUGAAGCACGAAAGGGUGGGGAUCAAACAGGAUUAGAUACCCCAGUGGU